CAAUAAAUCAGUUGUCGGCAAAAUAAAUUGGAUCAAGCCAAUAGGCAAUACCUAAAUUUGUAGAAAAUGCGAGAUCGAAAAGAUGGAUAUGUCGACUGAAAGCUCGGCCCGAACAUUCAGCUAAAUUGGCAAGAACUUAUUACGCUAAUACGCUAUUUAAUAGUAUUAUAUUUUCUUGCAAUUUUGUGAAGUAUACCAUAGCUAGGAAAUUCGAA
Paramuricea clavata is the source of this 215-nucleotide non-coding RNA. The record is from the annotation of a GenBank genome assembly. Lineage: Eukaryota; Metazoa; Cnidaria; Anthozoa; Malacalcyonacea; Plexauridae.